Molecule: ribosomal RNA, 1379 nt
Filed under: Mycobacterium sp.
Lineage: Bacteria; Bacillati; Actinomycetota; Actinomycetes; Mycobacteriales; Mycobacteriaceae
Description: bacterial SSU rRNA
Rfam family: Bacterial small subunit ribosomal RNA
Source: RNAcentral
UCUCGAGUGGCGACGGGUGAGUAACACGUGGGUGAUCUGCCCUGCACUUUGGGAUAAGCCUGGGAAACUGGGUCUAAUACCGAAUAGGACUCCGGACUGCAUGGUCUGGGGUGGAAAGCUUUUGCGGUGUGGGAUGGGCCCGCGGCCUAUCAGCUUGUUGGUGGGGUGAUGGCCUACCAAGGCGACGACGGGUAGCCGGCCUGAGAGGGUGUCCGGCCACACUGGGACUGAGAUACGGCCCAGACUCCUACGGGAGGCAGCAGUGGGGAAUAUUGCACAAUGGGCGCAAGCCUGAUGCAGCGACGCCGCGUGAGGGAUGACGGCCUUCGGGUUGUAAACCUCUUUCGCCAGGGACGAAGCGCAAGUGACGGUACCUGGAGAAGAAGCACCGGCCAACUACGUGCCAGCAGCCGCGGUAAUACGUAGGGUGCGAGCGUUGUCCGGAAUUACUGGGCGUAAAGAGCUCGUAGGUGGUUUGUCGCGUUGUUCGUGAAAACUCACAGCUUAACUGUGGGCGUGCGGGCGAUACGGGCAGACUGGAGUACUGCAGGGGAGACUGGAAUUCCUGGUGUAGCGGUGGAAUGCGCAGAUAUCAGGAGGAACACCGGUGGCGAAGGCGGGUCUCUGGGCAGUAACUGACGCUGAGGAGCGAAAGCGUGGGGAGCGAACAGGAUUAGAUACCCUGGUAGUCCACGCCGUAAACGGUGGGUACUAGGUGUGGGUUUCCUUCCUUGGGAUCCGUGCCGUAGCUAACGCAUUAAGUACCCCGCCUGGGGAGUACGGCCGCAAGGCUAAAACUCAAAGGAAUUGACGGGGGCCCGCACAAGCGGCGGAGCAUGUGGAUUAAUUCGAUGCAACGCGAAGAACCUUACCUGGGUUUGACAUGCACAGGACGCCGGCAGAGAUGUCGGUUCCCUUGUGGCCUGUGUGCAGGUGGUGCAUGGCUGUCGUCAGCUCGUGUCGUGAGAUGUUGGGUUAAGUCCCGCAACGAGCGCAACCCUUGUCUCAUGUUGCCAGCACGUUAUGGUGGGGACUCGUGAGAGACUGCCGGGGUCAACUCGGAGGAAGGUGGGGAUGACGUCAAGUCAUCAUGCCCCUUAUGUCCAGGGCUUCACACAUGCUACAAUGGCCGGUACAAAGGGCUGCGAUGCCGUGAGGUGGAGCGAAUCCUUUCAAAGCCGGUCUCAGUUCGGAUCGGGGUCUGCAACUCGACCCCGUGAAGUCGGAGUCGCUAGUAAUCGCAGAUCAGCAACGCUGCGGUGAAUACGUUCCCGGGCCUUGUACACACCGCCCGUCACGUCAUGAAAGUCGGUAACACCCGAAGCCGGUGGCCUAACCCUUGUGGAGGGAGCCGUCGAAAGUGGGAUCGGCGAUUGGAC